Raphanus sativus (radish) is the source of this 400-nucleotide long non-coding RNA. RefSeq lists it as uncharacterized. Lineage: Eukaryota; Viridiplantae; Streptophyta; Magnoliopsida; Brassicales; Brassicaceae. The transcript is spliced from 3 exons. The record is from RefSeq and is a predicted model, not a curated record.
UUCUCUGUACGGUUAAAGUGACUGGAAUUCAGCUAGAGGAGGGUUGGUGUUAUAUUGGCUGUUCCAGGUGUUCAGAGAAACUCAUCCGAGAGAAAUCUUCCUUCACAUGUGUCUCAUGCAAUGAAACAAAUGUUCUCGCUGAACUCAACAACACUGGCACAUCAGCCUUCCUUGCCUUUGAUAUGGAGGUGGCCAAACUGACGCACGUUCUAUCUUCUGAGGCAUCACAGAUUGUGGGGAUAAGUGUUAAUGCUCAGGUUGACACUGAACAUCCUCUAUCACUAGCUGAGAUUGUUGGGAAUGAAUACAUACACCUUCCAACUCAAAUUAAACGACUUCAAACAACCCAAACAACCCAAACCUUUACAAUUUCCCCCAUAUUUCCUACAAGAGAGCUUGC